AUUGAACGCUGGCGGCAGGCUUAACACAUGCAAGUCGAGCGGGGUGAUGGUGCUUGCACUAUCACUUAGCGGCGGACGGGUGAGUAAUGCUUAGGAAUCUGCCUAUUAGUGGGGGACAACAUCUCGAAAGGGAUGCUAAUACCGCAUACGUCCUACGGGAGAAAGCAGGGGAUCACUUGUGACCUUGCGCUAAUAGAUGAGCCUAAGUCGGAUUAGCUAGUUGGUGGGGUAAAGGCCUACCAAGGCGACGAUCUGUAGCGGGUCUGAGAGGAUGGGCCGCCACACUGGGGCUGAGACACGGCCCAGACUCCUACGGGAGGCAGCAGUGGGGAAUAUUGGACAAUGGGGGGAACCCUGAUCCAGCCAUGCCGCGUGUGUAAAGAAGGCCUUAUGGUUGUAAAGCACUUUAAGCGAGGAGGAGGCUCUUUUGGUUAAUACCCAAGAUGAGUGGACGUUACUCGCAGAAUAAGCACCGGCUAACUCUGUGCCAGCCGCCGCAGUAA
Molecule: ribosomal RNA, 503 nt
Filed under: uncultured bacterium
Lineage: Bacteria
Description: partial 16S ribosomal RNA
Rfam family: Bacterial small subunit ribosomal RNA
Source: RNAcentral